AUUGAACGCUGGCGGCGUGCCUAACACAUGCAAGUCGAGCGGUAACAGGUGUAGCAAUACAUGCUGACGAGCGGCGAACGGGUGAGUAAUGCUUCGGAAUCUACCUUAUGGUGGGGAAUAACUAGCCGAAAGGUUAGCUAAUACCGCAUACGUCCUACGGGAGAAAGCAGGGGAUCGCAAGACCUUGCGCCAAAAGAUGAGCCGAAGUCGGAUUAGCUAGUUGGUAGGGUAACGGCCUACCAAGGCGACGAUCCGUAGCUGGUCUGAGAGGACGACCAGGCAAACUGGGAGUGAGACACGGCCGAGACUCCGACGGGAGGCAGCAGUGGGGAAUAUUGGACAAUGGGGGAAACCCUGAUCCAGCGACUCCGCGUGUGUGAAGAAGGCCUGCGGGUUGUAAAGCACUUUUAGUGGGGAUGAAAUGUGCAGGGUUAAUACCUCUGCAUUUUGACCUAACCCACAGAAAAAGCACCGGCUAACUCUGUGCCAGCCGCCGCCGUAA
RNAcentral lists this ribosomal RNA (502 nucleotides) under uncultured bacterium. RNAcentral describes it as "partial 16S ribosomal RNA". It matches the Rfam family "Bacterial small subunit ribosomal RNA", at positions 30 to 523 of the family's 1533-position model. The record is from RNAcentral.